RNAcentral lists this ribosomal RNA (478 nucleotides) under uncultured bacterium. RNAcentral describes it as "partial 16S ribosomal RNA". It matches the Rfam family "Bacterial small subunit ribosomal RNA", at positions 29 to 507 of the family's 1533-position model. The record is from RNAcentral.
ACGCACGCUGGCGGCGUGCUUAACACAUGCAAGUCGAACGAAGCUUGCUUACGGAUUCUUCGGAUGAAGUAUGAUAUGACUGAGUGGCGGACGGGUGAGUAACGCGUGAGUAACCUGCCCUUCAGAGGGGGAUAGCGUUUGGAAACGAACGGUAAUACCGCAUAAUGUAUUUUGACCGCAUGAUCGAAAUACCAAAGAUUUAUCGCUGAAGGAUGGACUCGCGUCUGAUUAGGUAGUUGGUGGGGUAACGGCCUACCAAGCCGACGAUCAGUAGCCGGACUGAGAGGUUGAUCGGCCACAUUGGGACUGAGACACGGCCCAGACUCCUACGGGAGGCAGCAGUGGGGAAUAUUGCACAAUGGGCGCAAGCCUGAUGCAGCAACGCCGCGUGAAGGAAGACGGUUUUCGGAUUGUAAACUUCUGUUCUUAGUGAAGAAUAAUGACGGUAGCUAAGGAGCAAGCCACGGCUAACUACGUG